AACAACGUUCUGCUCAUCAAAGCUGGCUGUGAUAGAAUUACAAUAUUUAUCUAUUACAGUCAACUGUAAUGAAAGAAUUUUGC
MicroRNA precursor from Pediculus humanus corporis (human body louse), 83 nucleotides. Lineage: Eukaryota; Metazoa; Arthropoda; Insecta; Psocodea; Pediculidae. The record is from RefSeq and is a predicted model, not a curated record.